AAACUGCGAAUGGCUCAUUAAAUCAGUUAUCGUUUAUUUGAUAGUACCUUACUACUUGGAUAACCGUGGUAAUUCUAGAGCUAAUACAUGCUAAAAACCUCGACUUCGGGAGGGGUGUAUUUAUUAGAUAAAAAACCAAUGCCCUCCGGGGCUCCUUGGUGAUUCAUAAUAACUUAACGAAUCGCAUGGCCUUGUGCCGGCGAUGGUUCAUUCAAAUUUCUGCCCUAUCAACUUUCGAUGGUAGGAUAGUGGCCUACCAUGGUUUCAACGGGUAACGGGGAAUUAGGGUUCUAUUCCGGAGAGGGAGCCUGAGAAACGGCUACCACAUCCAAGGAAGGCAGCAGGCGCGCAAAUUACCCAAUCCCGACACGGGGAGGUAGUGACAAUAAAUACUGAUACAGGGCUCUUUUGGGUCUUGUAAUUGGAAUGAGUACAAUUUAAAUCCCUUAACGAGGAACAAUUGGAGGGCAAGUCUG
RNAcentral lists this ribosomal RNA (476 nucleotides) under Gremmenia infestans. Its description in RNAcentral is "SSU rRNA". It matches the Rfam family "Eukaryotic small subunit ribosomal RNA", at positions 84 to 563 of the family's 1831-position model. The record is from RNAcentral. Lineage: Eukaryota; Fungi; Ascomycota; Leotiomycetes; Helotiales; Hamatocanthoscyphaceae.